This 812-nucleotide unclassified non-coding RNA is filed under the name Leishmania donovani. Its description in RNAcentral is "gene:unknown". Lineage: Eukaryota; Euglenozoa; Kinetoplastea; Trypanosomatida; Trypanosomatidae. The record is from RNAcentral.
GGAGAACGUCCGCCCCCGAAUGCGGGCUGUGGGUGUGAUGGCUUGCAACUAACGCUAUAUAAGUAUCAGUUUCUGUACUUUAUUGGUAUGCGAAACUUCCGGAACCCGUCUUCCGGCAACAUUUUGGAAGCGCGGAGGCGCUCUUUUUUUUGUGUGCGUGUGUGUGUGGCGGCGGGUCCCGCGCGGGCGCCGGCGGCUUCCGUAGCGGUGGCCCCGCCGCCCCGAGGGGGCCGCGACGCCGCGGGGCAGGCGUCCCCGAGAGCGCCGCCCGGAAACCUUCGCGAAAGCGUUGCUACAAAUGCUAUCGCCGUUUUUCUGGCGUCCUUCCCAUUCGUAUGUUUUUCUGCACAACCGUUUUUUGUGUUUCACAAUAGCCACCGAGCAAACGAAGAAAAAUAGCUGCACACCUUAUGGUGAAAUGCUUGGCUACGGGGUGGGGUGGCGUUCAGCACCCGGCGCCGCUGUUUCUCCGCUGGGUUUGAAUAUCUGCGGGUGAAGAGGAGGGGCUGAGAGAUUGCUCAGACGCUGCUGACUUUUUACAGACUGGCAAGUGGCAACCGUCGGUGAAGGGGCCAUACCUUUCCCGCCGCGCAGUACAGGACCGCGAAAGGAAGUCGUAUGAUCCAACAACCCCCCACCCCCUCGAACCCGCAUGACCUCUUGCGACUGUAUUCUUUACUCGCACAACGUUGCAGCUACAAAUCACACCUCUUGCUCAGGUACUGUUCCCCCUCCUCUCCCCUCUUUCUCCACGCGACACGCCGGCCAAACGCAAACAAACCCACACCCCCUCACCUUGUGUGUUCAUCAAG